AUUGCUAUUUCAUUGUCAAACCCACUAUUGGUUUAAAUGAGUCCAAGUACAAGUAUGUGGACAACAAAAACAAGCUGGGAAUCUACUGUGAUACCGAUGUGUAUCCAUGUAAGGAUUUCAAUGGUCCCAUGUAUGGGUUCUCAUUCACAUCCUUUAAGGAUAUCAUUGACAAAACUGUUCCAGAAAACAAAUCUAUAGAUGUUAUUGGUUUUGUUGCUGAUGUUAAAGACCUUAAGAAGUUUAAGACAGCAAGGGGUAAAGACACCAAGAAACUCAAUGUCAUCAUUCAAGAUCUAGAGAUGGAAUCAAUAUACCUGUCUUUGUGGGAUUCUUAUGCUGAUCGGA
Molecule: long non-coding RNA, 345 nt
Organism: Helianthus annuus (common sunflower)
Lineage: Eukaryota; Viridiplantae; Streptophyta; Magnoliopsida; Asterales; Asteraceae
Exons: 3
Source: RefSeq, a predicted model, not a curated record